CCCUUAGAUGUCCGGGGCCGCACGCGCGCUACACUGAAGGAAUCAGCGUGGCUUUCUCCCUGACCCGAAAGGGUUGGGAAACCCGUUGAAUCUCCUUCGUGAUAGGGAUUGGGGCUUGAAAUUGUUCCCCAUGAACGAGGAAUUCCCAGUAAGCGCGAGUCAUAAGCUCGCGUUGAUUACGUCCCUGCCCUUUGUACACACCGCCCGUCGCUACUACCGCUUGAACGGUUUAGUGAGGGCCUCGGAUUGGUCUCGGCCCGCUCUUUACCGGGCGGCGCCGUUGGUCGAGAAGACGCUCGAACUUGAUCGUUUAGAGGAAGUAAAAGUCGUAACA
This 334-nucleotide ribosomal RNA is filed under the name uncultured eukaryote. RNAcentral's name for it is "partial 18S ribosomal RNA". It matches the Rfam family "Eukaryotic small subunit ribosomal RNA", at positions 1470 to 1796 of the family's 1831-position model. The record is from RNAcentral.